RNAcentral lists this ribosomal RNA (89 nucleotides) under Pseudoalteromonas sp. P1-25. Lineage: Bacteria; Pseudomonadati; Pseudomonadota; Gammaproteobacteria; Alteromonadales; Pseudoalteromonadaceae. The record is from RNAcentral.
CUGACCCCAUGCCGAACUCAGUAGUGAAACGAAACAGCGCCGAUGAUAGUGUAGCAUUUGCUAUGUGAAAGUAGGACAUUGCCAGGAUU